AUUGAACGCUGGCGGCAGGCCUAACACAUGCAAGUCGAGCGGUUGAAGGGAGCUUGUUCCUGGAUCCAGCGGCGGACGGGUGCGUAAUGCCUAGGAAUCUGCCUGGUAGUGGGGGAUAACGUCCGGAAACGGGCGCUAAUACCGCAUACGUCCUGAGGGAGAAAGUGGGGGAUCUUCGGACCCCACGCUAUCAGAUGAGCCUAGGUCGGAUUAGCUAGUUGGUGGGGUAAAGGCCUACCAAGGCGACGAUCCGUAACUGGUCUGAGAGGAUGAGCAGUCACACUGGAACUGAGACACGGUCCAGACUCCUACGGGAGGCAGCAGUGGGGAAUAUUGGACAAUGGGCGAAAGCCUGAUCCAGCCAUGCCGCGUGUGUGAAGAAGGUCUUCGGAUUGUAAAGCACUUUAAGUUGGGAGGAAGGGCAGUAAGUUAAUACCUUGCUGUAUUGACGUUACCAACAGAAUAAGCACCGGCUAACUUCGUG
Molecule: ribosomal RNA, 484 nt
Filed under: uncultured bacterium
Lineage: Bacteria
Description: partial 16S ribosomal RNA
Rfam family: Bacterial small subunit ribosomal RNA
Source: RNAcentral